Molecule: long non-coding RNA, 681 nt
Organism: Salvia splendens (bonfire salvia)
Lineage: Eukaryota; Viridiplantae; Streptophyta; Magnoliopsida; Lamiales; Lamiaceae
Exons: 2
Source: RefSeq, a predicted model, not a curated record
UGUCUCUUCUCCCUUCUCGGUAUUUUUUCCAAAUCUGAAAAUUUGAGAAACCCUUAUUGAGGCAGCAGCAUCUCCGUCGAGCUCUCUUUCUCUCUUUCUCUAGCGACCGGCUAACUCGCCGCUCCCCUGCGUCGCCUGCUCCGCCUCCUCUGCCAUUCACGCCUUCCUCCGGGGAAUUCGCGGAUGAUGGAGGAAGCGCCACCUCUCAUCUCCAGAGGGUUCCCGACGCCGAUCUCUCUCUCUCCCUCAAGGAGCUUGGCGUUUUCACUGGGAGUCACACCGUCGCCGGCGACUCACGUCAGCUCCCUCCGUCGAGGGUGGCUGUCCAAGGCGUCUCGGUUGGCGGUUUGGAGUCUUGCGGCUGUGGAAACGAGGAAGAAGAAAGGAGAAAGAGAUAGGGAAGAAGAUCUUUGGAUUUUUUUGUUCUCAUUCCUAUUUGUGGUGUGUGAAUUUUCCUUGCAGGUUUGGAGAUGAAUCCUACAGCUGCUGUUGCUGCCCAACCGAGAGGAGAAGAGGGGAAGAGAUCAUGCUCCAAGGCAUUCCUAGAUCUCAUUAUCAUUUCUACCUAGAGUCAAAUCCUAGAUUAUGUACUCCUUAGAUUUGACAAGCUGUAACAUAUUUCCUUUGUAUCAUGAACAAAAGCACUCCAUUUGAUUACAUGGAAUUUCUAUUUUCCAACAA